This 605-nucleotide ribosomal RNA is filed under the name uncultured bacterium. RNAcentral's name for it is "bacterial SSU rRNA". It matches the Rfam family "Bacterial small subunit ribosomal RNA", at positions 888 to 1498 of the family's 1533-position model. The record is from RNAcentral.
GCAAGAUUAAAACUCAAAGGAAUAGACGGGGACCCGCACAAGUGGUGGAGCAUGUGGUUUAAUUCGAAGAUACGCGAAGAACCUUACCUAGCCUUGACAUUGAUAGAAUCUUCCAGAGAUGGAGGAGUGCCUUUCGGGGAACUUGAAAACAGGUGCUGCACGGCUGUCGUCAGCUCGUGUCGUGAGAUGUUGGGUUAAGUCCCGCAACGAGCGCAACCCUCGUCACUAGUUACUAACAGUUAGGCUGAGGACUCUAGUGAGACUGCCUUCGUAAGGAGGAGGAAGGUGAGGACGACGUCAAGUCAUCAUGGCCCUUACGGCUAGGGCAACACACGUGCUACAAUGGUUAGGACAGUGAGAAGCGAUACCGCGAGGUGGAGCCAAUCUAUAAACCUAAUCUCAGUUCGGAUUGUAGUCUGCAACUCGACUACAUGAAGCUGGAAUCACUAGUAAUCGUAGAUCAACUAUGCUACGGUGAAUACGUUCCCGGGUCUUGUACUCACCGCCCGUCACACCAUGGGAGUUGAUUUCACCCGAAGCGGGGAAGCUAAACUGGCUACCCUCCACGGUGGAAUUAGCGACUGGGGUGAAGUCGUAACAAGGUA